CCUACGCGAUGCAGCAGUGGGGAAUAUUGCACAAUGGGGGGAACCCUGAUGCAGCGACGCCGCGUGGGUGAGGAAGUACUUCGGUAUGUAAAGCCCUAUCAGCAGGGAAGAAAAUGACGGUACCUGACAAAGAAGCCCCGGCUAACUACGUGCCAGCAGCCGCGGUAAUACGUAGGGGGCAAGCGUUAUCCGGAUUUACUGGGUGUAAAGGGAGCGUAGACGGCGUGCCAAAUCUGGUGUGAAAGGCCGGGGCUCAACCCCGGGACUGCAUUGGAAACUGGCAUGCUGGAGUGCCGGAGAGGUAGGCGGAAUUCCUAGUGUAGCGGUGAAAUGCGUAGAUAUUAGGAGGAACACCAGUGGCGAAGGCGGCCUACUGGACUGUGACUGACGCUGAGGCUCGAAAGCGUGGGGAGCAAACAGGAUUAGAUACCCCAGUAGUC
This 440-nucleotide ribosomal RNA is filed under the name uncultured bacterium. RNAcentral describes it as "partial 16S ribosomal RNA". It matches the Rfam family "Bacterial small subunit ribosomal RNA", at positions 338 to 795 of the family's 1533-position model. The record is from RNAcentral.